Molecule: long non-coding RNA, 513 nt
Filed under: Pongo abelii (Sumatran orangutan)
Lineage: Eukaryota; Metazoa; Chordata; Mammalia; Primates; Hominidae
Description: lincRNA
Source: RNAcentral
GGAGAGCAUGGACCCUGAGGUCCCAGGAUUGUCAGCUGACCUCUGUCCUGUGUGCCCAGUGGCCCCAGGUGACGUGUCUUCAAGAAGAGGCUGAGCUGUGGUGCUUGUAAGGUCUCAGCCUUAGAUCCAAGGACAGUCCAAGGAAGUCCUAAGACCGUGGAGUUGGUGACCUGGGAUCUGGGUUUGCUGGUAUUUCUCACCAUGAAUCUCUUGGUGGUGUUUGUGGGCACCAGAGGGGCAGAGAAUAGAGAGUGAGGCUACCACAUGAAGCGUCACCAGAGCUGCUCCCUGCUGCCUGCUCAGAGCACCCUGGAUCCACUGUUCAAUCUGCACAAGAUUCGGGGUCCAGACAUGGGAGACUUCAGCUGCCUCGGAGGACCGUGGACAGGGAAGGCCAGCCUCGCAUCCCUCUGUCCAUGCCUGGAAUGACUUAACCAAGAGUUUUAUUCUUGAAUUUGUAGCUGUUGUUCACUUUUUACCCACCCAUUCAAUAAACCUUACAGAAUUGCUCCA